This 199-nucleotide ribosomal RNA is filed under the name uncultured bacterium. RNAcentral describes it as "partial 16S ribosomal RNA". It matches the Rfam family "Bacterial small subunit ribosomal RNA", at positions 326 to 539 of the family's 1533-position model. The record is from RNAcentral.
ACGCUCGACACCUACGGAAGGCAGCAGUGGGGAAUAUUGCACAAUGGGGGAAACCCGUGAUGCAGCGACGCCGCGUGAAGGAUGAAGUAUUUCGGUAUGUAAACUUCUAUCAGCAGGGAAGAAAGUGACGGUACCUGACUAAGAAGCCCCGGCUAACUACGUGCCAGCAGCCGUGGUAAUCUGAGCGGGCUGGCAAGGC